GACGAACGCUGGCGGCGUGCCUAAUACAUGCAAGUUGAGCGCUGAAGGUUGGUACUUGUACCGACUGGAUGAGCAGCGGACGGGUGAGUAACGCGUGGGGAAUCUGCCUUUGAGCGGGGGACAACAUUUGGAAACGAAUGCUAAUACCGCAUAACAACUUUAAACACAAGUUUUAAGUUUGAAAGAUGCAAUUGCAUCACUCAAAGAUGAUCCCGCGUUGUAUUAGCUAGUUGGUGAGGUAAAGGCUCACCAAGGCGAUGAUACAUAGCCGACCUGGGAGGGUGAUCGGCCACAUUGGGACUGAGACACGGCCCAAACUCCUACGGGAGGUAGCAGUAGGGAAUCUUCGGCAAUGGACGAAAGUCUGACCGAGCAACGCCGCGUGAGUGAAGAAGGUUUUCGGAUCGUAAAACUCUGUUGGUAGAGAAGAACGUUGGUGAGAGUGGAAAGCUCAUCAAGUGACGGUAACUACCCAGAAAGGGACGGCUAACUACGUGCCAGCCGCCGCCGUAA
This 513-nucleotide ribosomal RNA is filed under the name uncultured bacterium. RNAcentral describes it as "partial 16S ribosomal RNA". It matches the Rfam family "Bacterial small subunit ribosomal RNA", at positions 28 to 523 of the family's 1533-position model. The record is from RNAcentral.